RNAcentral lists this ribosomal RNA (297 nucleotides) under Triticum aestivum (bread wheat). RNAcentral's name for it is "partial small subunit ribosomal RNA". The record is from RNAcentral. Lineage: Eukaryota; Viridiplantae; Streptophyta; Magnoliopsida; Poales; Poaceae.
AUGAUGAGAUUACUUCAGCAACACUUGGAGCGCGUUAGAACUCGUAUGAAACACCAGGCAGAUAAGAAAUGUUCUGACAGAGUAUUUGCUGUGGGUGAUUCUGUUUUCCUCAAGUUGCAGCCAUACAUUCAGUCCUCUGUGGCCCCACGUGCUCAUCACAAAUUGUUGUUCAAAUACUAUGGCCCUUAUCAAGUGCUGGAACGAGUAGGUGCAUCAGCCUAUCGUCUUGCGCUUCCACCGGCAAGCAAGAUCCACCCAGUUCUACACGUCUCAACUGAAGUUGGCACUGGGACCUAA